This is a long non-coding RNA of Haliotis rubra (blacklip abalone), 209 nucleotides long. RefSeq lists it as uncharacterized. The record is from RefSeq and is a predicted model, not a curated record. Lineage: Eukaryota; Metazoa; Mollusca; Gastropoda; Lepetellida; Haliotidae. The transcript is spliced from 3 exons.
ACUCUGGCGGAUAUUAUAUAUAUUGGGGCAUAUGCACUCACUCUAGCUUCCUACUGAUGCAAUAAAGGACUUAUUAUUCCUUACAACUUGCCUGAUAUUGGUAAUUGAAACUCUGAGGCGAACAGCAUCCAAACAGAGAACACUUGCUAUAUAUGGAAUGUAAACAACUGCUCCAUACAUCAAAAACUGUUCCACAUGGUGUUUGCCAG